This is a long non-coding RNA of Pan troglodytes (chimpanzee), 1964 nucleotides long. RefSeq lists it as uncharacterized. The transcript has 3 exons. The record is from RefSeq and is a predicted model, not a curated record. Lineage: Eukaryota; Metazoa; Chordata; Mammalia; Primates; Hominidae.
AGCUCACACAGAGCUUUCCCACAGGGAGGAAUGUGCUGGCCAAGCUGACGAACAUCCAGCCUACUGGACACUUGGGGGCUAACUAUAAAGGAGUAAUUUGACCCAGAAAGGGACUGCACUGACCAGCUGACACUGACAUCUGCCCCCACUGCUGCUCCUUCCUCGCUGCACUCAAGCACACUGGCAUUUGGGUUUGCCUCUGUCUCUCGUGAAUUAGGUUACUGUGAGUCAGUCCUCCAGAGCCUCAGCACUUCUAGGGCACAGACCAGAUCACAUUUCUGGGCCUACAAGGCCAGGAGUGAGGUGCUGGGCUGGGCUGCAGGAACCUCAGCCAAGCCCUGCUUCCCUGGGGCCCAACUGGGCCUAGCUGGUCUCUGCUGGGGAGCCCUCAGUCAAAUCUCUGUCAAACCACAACAGUGACAAGUUUACAACACUCAACCAGAAACCUCUGCAGGGCUGAGACCCAAGUUUGCAUCCACUGCUGCAUGGAUGCUCACACACCAGAAAAUCAGCUGUGUUACAGAAAGCACCAGCAUCUCCACUUCCCAAUGCGAAAGAAAGGGAACCCUGUGUUUAAAAAUUAGGAACAAAAAGAACUGGGCCAUCGUCAAUGGAUGCUGCUACAAGUCUUUUGUACACACGGUCCAAAGGCAGAAGUGAGUUGCCUCCGCUCUUGAAUGUCUGCAGGAUGUCUGGGCCUCAGGCUGGAAGCAGCCCCACGCACGUGGCAGGCACAUCCCAGAGCCCACCGCACUGUGACCACGAGGUCUGAAGAGCCCCUGUGGGCACAGCGGUGGGCUGCGGGCUCGGGGGCCUCACAGGCUGGCUGUGUCCUGGUACCAACUCAUGCUUUGAGUCUCACAUCCUCUUCUCUAAAACAGGGGUACCCAGAUCACCCAUCCGGUGGGCUCAGCCUUUGCAAAACCUAGGCUACCUCAUCUGCUGUGAGAAUUCAGCUGGCUUCUGCACCCUGGCCCUUCUGCCUGGAGCUCUCCUCCCAGCCUCCUCUCCUGGGCCAGUGCCGCCAUCCUGAGUCUCACCUUGAACCUGAAUCUCUUGGGGCUGCCUUGCCUAACUCCCAGACUGAGAUAAAGCCCUCAUUAUACCCUCACCUCCCGUCCUCUGCCAGAGACCAAACGCUCCCUGGAUUAUUUAUAGAUGGGCCCACCUGAACAAUCCAAGGGCUUCGUGGAGAAAUGGCCGAUCCUAGAUCUGGAGAAGAAGUGUUCCAGAUGAGUGUGGAGUAACAGACACACCACUCAGAAAUAAGGCACCAAGCGCUGCUGGGAUCCCAUUAGAAAGACCCAGAGACACCCUGAGGUUCCCUGCUGGUCAGUAUAAGACAACCUGAGCUUCAGUAAGGAUAUGAACUGCAGUGGGUGGAAAUUCAUUCAAUAUAUUUAAAUCUACAUGUUCAUGAUAAUUCAAAACAAACAAAACCCUACUGGGUCACCUUUUGAGAAUGAGAACGAAUCCAUUUAUAAUAUUCAGAAUUUAGUAAAUUCUGGGUAAAAGGAAAGAGUCAAUUAUUUAUCUUCCCUUUCAUAUGGGAACUGUACAAAUGAUCACAGGAGUGCAUCUCUACGUCAACUUACUUCCACUCAUAAAAUGAAAACGCAAUGAGAGAAUUAGAAUAUCACGAUCCUGCAGCUCUCAAUUAAUGGAAGUAAUUAAUGGAAAAACAUUAAGCAUUGAUGGCUGUUAACAGCAAAACAGAGUGAAAAACAAGGAAGAACCUAGAAAGGAAAAAAAAAUCAGAACUCUUUUCAGUAGGCAGGUAACACACAAAUUCUGGAAAAGCUCACAAUAAUAAUAGUAUUUCCAGCAGAUACUCAGGUGUGUGAAAACAAACCUGUACAGGUCUAAAUGAUAUACUAACAUUUCAAUGAGGCAAAUUAACUCGUCUCAUGCCUUGUAAACAGAACUUUUCAAUAACCAAAAAGGAAAUAAAAACUCUAAAUUCA